RNAcentral lists this ribosomal RNA (568 nucleotides) under uncultured bacterium. Its description in RNAcentral is "partial 16S ribosomal RNA". It matches the Rfam family "Bacterial small subunit ribosomal RNA", at positions 355 to 911 of the family's 1533-position model. The record is from RNAcentral.
UGGUGAAUUUUGGACAAUGGGCGAAAGCCUGAUCCAGUAAUGCCGCGUGUGUGAAGAAGGCCUUCGGGUUGUAAAGCACUUUUGUCCGGAAAGAAAUCCUUGGCUCUAAUACAGUCGGGGGAUGACGGUACCCGGAAGAAUAAGCACCGGCUAACUACGUGCCAGCAGCCGCGGUAAUACGUAGGGUGCAAGCGUUAAUCGGAAUUACUGGGCGUAAAGCGUGCGCAGGCGGUUUGCUAAGACCGAUGUGAAAUCCCCGGGCUCAACCUGGGAACUGCAUUGGUGACUGGCAGGCUAGAGUAUGGCAGAGGGGGGUAGAAUUCCACGUGUAGCAGUGAAAUGCGUAGAGAUGUGGAGGAAUACCGAUGGCGAAGGCAGCCCCCUGGGCCAAUACUGACGCUCAUGCACGAAAAGCGUGGGGAGCAAAACAGGAUUAGAUACCCCUGGUAGUCCACGCCCUAAAACGAUGUCAACUAGUUGUUGGGGAUUCAUUUCCUUAGUAACGUAGCUAACGCGUGAAGUUGACCGCCUGGGGAGUACGGUCGCAAGAUUAAAACUCAAAUGAAUU